GAUGAACGCUGGCGGCGUGCCUAAUACAUGCAAGUCGAGCGAACGGACGAGAAGCUUGCUGUUCUGAUGUUAGCGGCGGACGGGUGAGUAACACGUGGAUACCCUACCUAUAAGACUGGGAUAACUUCGGGAAACCGGAGCUAAUACCGGAUAAUAUUUUGAACCGCAUGGUUCAAAAGUGAAAGACGGUCUUGCUGUCACUUAUAGAUGGAUCCGCGCUGCAUUAGCUAGUUGGUAAGGUAACGGCUUACGAAGGCAACGAUGCAUAGCCGACCUCAGAGGGUGGUAGGCGACACUAGAACUGGGACGCGGUCCAGAGUCCUGCGGGAGGGAGCAGUCGGGAAUCUGACGCAGUAGUGGAAAGCCUGACGGAGCAACGCCGCGUGAGUGAUGAAGGUGUUCGGAUCGUAAAGCUCUGUUAUGGGGGAAGAACAUAUGUGUAAGUAAAUGUGCAGAUCGUGACGGUAACUAAUCAGAAAGCAACGGCUAACUACGUG
RNAcentral lists this ribosomal RNA (497 nucleotides) under uncultured bacterium. RNAcentral's name for it is "partial 16S ribosomal RNA". It matches the Rfam family "Bacterial small subunit ribosomal RNA", at positions 28 to 507 of the family's 1533-position model. The record is from RNAcentral.